GUGAGGAAUAUUGGUCAAUGGACGCAAGUCUGAACCAGCCAUGCCGCGUGAAGGAUGAAGGCGUUCUGCGUUGUAAACUUCUUUUAUUAGGGAAGAAACCACCGAUUUCUAUUGGUGUUGACGGUACCUAAGGAAUAAGCACCGGCUAACUCCGUGCCAGCAGCCGCGGUAAUACGGAGGGUGCAAGCGUUAUCCGGAUUUACUGGGUUUAAAGGGUGCGCAGGCGGACUGUUAAGUCAGUGGUGAAAUCUCCGGGCUCAACCCGGAAACUGCCGUUGAUACUAUCAGUCUUGAAUACUGUUGAGGUGGGCGGAAUAGGUCAUGUAGCGGUGAAAUGCAUAGAUAUGACCUGGAACCCCAAUUGCGAAGGCAGCUCACUAAGCAGACUAUUGACGCUGAGGCACGAAAGCGUGGGGAUCAAACAGGAUUAGAAACCCUUGUAGUCC
RNAcentral lists this ribosomal RNA (446 nucleotides) under uncultured bacterium. RNAcentral describes it as "bacterial SSU rRNA". It matches the Rfam family "Bacterial small subunit ribosomal RNA", at positions 354 to 796 of the family's 1533-position model. The record is from RNAcentral.